Molecule: long non-coding RNA, 464 nt
Filed under: Brassica napus (rape)
Lineage: Eukaryota; Viridiplantae; Streptophyta; Magnoliopsida; Brassicales; Brassicaceae
Description: long non-coding RNA (BNAP_LNC025151)
Source: RNAcentral
UUUCAUUCACUUACAAACUAAAUAAAACUAUUUUGAAACCACUUUUAUAAGUGAUGGCUGAAUACAAUACUCAUCACAUUUUUCUUAUACCUCUAGUAGUUUUUAUUUCCGCUAACCCCAGCCAACUAUCCAAAUGAAGAUAUUUGGGAGAUAUUUUGAAAUCUCUUCCAAUAAUAUAUUUUCUAAAUAUACUUUUAAAAUCUAGGAAACUUUUUUGUUGAAUUAAUAUAAUUUUUUCUAAUUGAGUAUCUCUUCUCUAAAGUGAAUAUUAUGAUUCUCAGCAAUCUUCAUAUCUCGAGUUCAGCACUCCAAACUCCAAUUUGGAUCUCGUUGCAGUACUUCUGUAGCACUUUGGUAAAAGCUGGACAUCAUGAUACUAUUUCUUCAAACUCUCCCUUUUUAAAUUUGUGUGAUUCCCAAGCAAUUGUAAGAAUCAAUCAACCAAUACACACACAAACAAACAC